CACAGCUCUUCUCCUAUUGGACAGGCUUGACUUUGGGUUCAUGCUAGCUAGUCAUACCCCCAGAAGGCACCAUAACAACACAAAACAAAGGUAAACAAGAAAACCAGGGGGUCAGUGGGCUGAACCAGCCUGGGAGAGAACUUAGACGGCCCCAAAGAGAAGAAAAGGAACUUCGCUAGGCUGUAUUUUUGGUCAUUUAUCUAGCUAACAGAAACCAAACGGCUAAACUGGUAAACUAGGCGUGGCAACGUAAGCGCGCGCACGUUCUAAGCUGUUCUUCCUCCCGGAGGAACCCACCCCAAAACAGUUAGAACAGACAGUGACUUCGCCAAGUAAAGGAAUUAACAGUGUUAGAACAGUAGAGUUACUGUGUAUAACAGACUAAAUAACUGAACAAGUCCGCGUUCUCCAGUAAACAGAGCCGCAGAGCCUCAGCCAGACAAGCGAGCGAGCGGCGGGGCUGAGGCGCAGUUUUUAAAGUCGAAGUCCCGCCCCUCCUGGUCAUAUCGUGCUCUCUGAUUGGGCGAAAGGAGACCGUGAAGAGUGACACUUCGACCCGCCUAUAAGAGGAAGGGAGGUAGGAGCGGAGUGGAAAAGACGAGGGAGAGGAAUAAAGGACGCGCUCACUGUAUCACUGGGACCAUGAAGAGGUCAGUGUUUGUGGAGUUUGCCCUGUUUGCUCUCAUUCCUCUGAGUGAGGCCGGCUGCUGGCACGGCGUGCUUAAAAAGGGUGCGACUCAUUGUCAGGAUGGUGUGGAUAAGACCUGGCACCCUGUGGGAUCAUCCUGGACCAACAGCAGAUGUGUCCAGUGUGACUGUGACAGUGCUUCAUUGACCUGCUGUUAUGGAAUGCCAAGAGUUGGGAAAUUUGCAGACGACUGCACCGUGGAGUACAAUUAUGACACCUGCACAUAUAAAGUGUUCAAAAAGAGUGAUCCAACAAUUGAGUGCCCUCACGCUGCUGUUCUUAAGUGAUCAUCAAGAAAUGCAGCAUUCAGUAGUGCUGUACACCAGGUCAUUCUGACCGAAGCAUUCUUAGAAAUCAAGCUCAAGCGAAGUACAAGUACUCAGAUAUCUAUAUUCAUAAAAUAUCUGCAAAAGUAUGCAAGUAUAACUGAAUAAGUAAUUUAAGCCAAUUAGUCCUGAUACAGGAUAUAAGAACUCAUUCACAUACAGAAACAUGGACACUUUAAAUACUGCAUAGCUAAUCUUGCUUAAAGAAAAUGCAUUACAGCCUUGAACACUAAUAGUAUUGCAGAUUUUUGACACAUUAAAAUGAAUCAAUUUCCUCUCUGCUCCAUUGUGCUGUCAUUCCUUCAAUGAUCCCGUCUUGUGUAUAAGUGCUGUAUAGUUCAUUUACGGUGCUAUUUUUUUCAUAUAGGAACCAAUAGAAAACCUGUUUUGGACUUUAGUUUAAAAUGGAUGUGGGAGGACGAUCAAUAAAGAAUAAUGUGGGUUCACUGUAAAAACAGAUAUGCAGGUAUUUUAUAUCAGAAUGAUCAGAUUAUUUAACAUGCUGUGAUCUGUGAGUAAAAACACUUAGAUAACAUACAUGAGCUCAGCAGUUCCUGAGGUGGGAUAUACACAGUACUUGGUGCAACUACACUGUAUUAGUGCAAAAAAGCAUUAAAACAGGAGUGUGUGUGUGUGUGUGUGUGUGUGCAUGUGUGAGUGUGUGUGAGUGUAGAAUAUGUGUGUGUGAGGGGGCUUACAGUUCGGUCAAAAACGUGAUUGUUU
This is a long non-coding RNA of Pygocentrus nattereri (red-bellied piranha), 1737 nucleotides long. The record is from Ensembl. Lineage: Eukaryota; Metazoa; Chordata; Actinopteri; Characiformes; Serrasalmidae.